Saccostrea cuccullata (small rock oyster) is the source of this 1387-nucleotide RNA transcript. RefSeq lists it as uncharacterized. The transcript is spliced from 4 exons. Lineage: Eukaryota; Metazoa; Mollusca; Bivalvia; Ostreida; Ostreidae. The record is from RefSeq and is a predicted model, not a curated record.
GAAAGUCGAUAAAAUGAAGUUACAUUUAUAUAACCAUAUAUAGAUUUACUUAUCAAGUAUUGCCAGUUUAAAAAAAAAUAUCUCUUUUUGAAACCAAUCAGUAUUUGGAGAGUAAAAUUCAUAAUGAUAAGCAAUAGAAAUAAGACUCUUCAGGAAGGACAUGAACAAUAUUUCCGUAUUUUUGAUUAAAAUGUGCCGAUCACGAAGUGAUAAGCUGCUUGUUUUUGCAUUUAUAGGUCUCUUUAUACUGGUGUUUUCUCAAACAAAAAAUGGUGAAUGUACAGAAAGACCCGUUUCAGGCCAGUGUUGUUACAACUAUCAUCUUGUGGGCAAUAAAUGCGAGGAAAGCCUGUUAUUCAGUUUAUGUUUUCUGUAACAGUUGCAACAUUAAUCCCCAUACUACUGAGAAAAUGAACCAAUUUGAAACUUAUAUCAAUGUAUCUUCCAUCAAUCAGCCUGUCCCCCCGGAUUCUUUGGAAACAAUUGUAUCAACGCAUGCCCAAAAGGAAGUUACGGGAAUUUGUGUGGCAAUGAAUGCAUAAUUUGCUCAAUUUCCGAAUGCCAUCCAGUCUAUGGUUGUGCGAAGCCAACAAUCUCAACUCUUGUGAUAUCUUCACAAGUUGACCAUACAACUUCUCUCCUUUCUACGUACAGAGAAAACUCCACAAGGAAAUCUGCAGAUAGACCACCUUUUACUACAGAAAUUCCUCGAUCCACUUUAAAACAAUUUUCAAUUUCCACUCGUUUAAUCACCCCAUCUGUUAGCGGUGAUAAUAACAAUAAUAAUACUGUUAUUAUUGCGGUGGGUGGUGCUAUAACAUUAUGUUUGCUCAUACUUAUCAUUCAAGUUGGGUACAAACAAAUAUUACAAUGUAAGAGGAAAAAACGGCGUUUAUCUUCAAAACAAGAUCACACUGAAGAAACAUAUCAAGAAAUAACUGACAUUGAUGUGAACACAAGAAAAUGCAAUGAUGGUUCUAAAGAGAAAACAAAAUACAAUAUAUUAAACCGUGUGCCAGAGGUACCUGGACGGGGAUAUCGUGAGAUUCAAGAAAUACAGAUACCCGAGGAGACUCGAUCGGGAGGAACACUUCAUUCCGACAGCAGUGGAGAAUCCUAUGUAUCACCAAAUGAAAAUGCUUCCCUCCACACAUAUACUCCUGUUAUAGACUCUAAUGGUGAAGAUAUGAGGGCAAGGGGGCCAAGUGGUAGCAAUAAUUAUUUAAGCCCUGUUUUUGAAAUACAUGUGCCUUCUUCUGAGCAUGGGCACUCUGACUCAAGUCACAGUUCUACACAGUAUAAUGAUAUUGCAUUACCGCAGUGUGUAAAUCGGAUGGACGAAACUAAUAUCUAUCUUGAUGUAACGAACGAAUAAAUGAAUUUAAAA